This 342-nucleotide unclassified non-coding RNA is filed under the name plant metagenome. RNAcentral describes it as "partial contains 5.8S ribosomal RNA, internal transcribed spacer 2, and large subunit ribosomal RNA". The stretch from base 1 to 103 matches the Rfam family "5.8S ribosomal RNA", at positions 50 to 154 of the family's 154-position model. The record is from RNAcentral.
GAAGUGCGAUAAGCAAUGCGAAUUGCAGAACCGUGAGUCAUCAGAUUUUUGAACGCAACUGGCGCCGGUUGGCUCUCCAACCGGCAUGCUUGUUUCAGUGUCUCUUUAUCUCAUCACCCAUAUCAUAAUGCGAGAGAUACCCUUCUCUUGCUAAGCUCGAAAGCACUCUGCGCUCUGUGAGCGGCUUCGACUUGUUCGAGGGUCGCACUCAAUGCAGCCGUCACAUUGCUCACAAUGUGAACUCAUUGAGAGCUGAGGCAGUGUAGCGUAAGCUACCAGUGCUUAGUCACACAAACUUUACUUGCAUCUGAAAUCAAGCAGGAUCACCCGCUGAACUUAAGC